This 522-nucleotide long non-coding RNA is filed under the name Mustela putorius furo (domestic ferret). Its description in RNAcentral is "lncRNA (ENSMPUG00000024127.1)". Lineage: Eukaryota; Metazoa; Chordata; Mammalia; Carnivora; Mustelidae. The record is from RNAcentral.
GCAAUGGAUGUGGAGGGCACUCAGGCCAGAAUACUGAAGUGUUUCAGACUCAGUGAGUGUGUCUGGGAUGUGCAGAAAACAUCCUUCCAUUUUGCCUAGAGAAAAAAGGGAAUCCAGGACCUGGUGCUCCCAAUGGCCUGGAGCAUGAGGGUCUCAGGUAUAGCAUCCACACAGGAAGUGCGUGUAUCUUAAGUAGACAGCUCGUUGAAGUUUUACAUAUGUAUACACCUUGUAACAACCAUCAAGAUUAGGAAGCAGAACAUUUCCAUGAUGCCAGAAGGUUCCCUGAGUCCCUUCUUGAGAGAAAUAGCGAGGAGGAAGCACAGCACAGGGAGCUGGAGAGGGAGAAGUAGGCUCCACGCUGAGCAGGAUGCUGGGAUCACGACUGAGUCGGGCUCAUAACCUGAACCGAAGACAGACACUUAAUGACUGAGCCACACAGGUGCCCCUGUCUAUAAUCUUGUUGAGGGACAUUGGGGUUUUUUAAAAGUUUUGCUAUUAAGAAUAAAAGUGCUAUGGAAU